AUUGAACGCUGGCGGCAGGCCUAACACAUGCAAGUCGAGCGGCAGCGGAAAGUAGCUUGCUACUUUGCCGGCGAGCGGCGGACGGGUGAGUAAUGUCUGGGAAACUGCCUGAUGGAGGGGGAUAACUACUGGAAACGGUAGCUAAUACCGCAUAACGUCGCAAGACCAAAGAGGGGGACCUUCGGGCCUCUUGCCAUCAGAUGUGCCCAGAUGGGAUUAGCUGGCAGGUGGGGUAAUGGCCUACCUGGGCGACGAUCCCUAGCUGGUCUGGGAGGAUGGCCAGCCACACUGGAACUGUGACACGGUCCAGACUCCUACGGGAGGCAGCAGUGGGGAAUAUUGCACAAUGGGCGCAAGCCUGAUGCAGCCAUGCCGCGUGUGUGAAGAAGGCCUUCGGGUUGUAAAGCACUUUCAGCGAGGAGGAAGGCAGUAAGGUUAAUAACCUUGCUGAUUGACGUUACUCGCAGAAGAAGCACCGGCUAACUCCGUGCCAGCCGCCGCCGUAA
RNAcentral lists this ribosomal RNA (506 nucleotides) under uncultured bacterium. RNAcentral describes it as "partial 16S ribosomal RNA". It matches the Rfam family "Bacterial small subunit ribosomal RNA", at positions 30 to 523 of the family's 1533-position model. The record is from RNAcentral.